UUUUAUAAAUUAAGGCUGGAAUGAAUGGAUUAAUGAAGCAUUACUUUCUUAGGUUAAAAUUUAAAAUUAAUUUUUUUAGUGAAGAAACUAAAAUGGAAUUGUGGGACGAGAAGACCCUAUUAAGCUUUAUAAAAUUAUUUUGUUGGGGAAACAAAAGAAGAAAACUUCUUUGAAAAAUUGUAUUGGUAGGUUUAGAAUUAUUAUUAAUAAUAAUAGAAUAAGUUACUAUAGGGAUAACAGCAUAAUUUUUUUAAAAAGUUCUUAUUAACAAAAAUAGUUAUGACCUCGAUGUUGGAUUAUAAUUAUUAUAUAAUGUAGUUGUUAUAUAAAUUAGUCUGUUCGACUAUUAAAAUUAUA
Molecule: ribosomal RNA, 357 nt
Filed under: Peripatus basilensis
Lineage: Eukaryota; Metazoa; Onychophora; Udeonychophora; Euonychophora; Peripatidae
Description: partial 16S ribosomal RNA
Source: RNAcentral